GGGAUUGUCGGCUUGUAGUGUUUUUUUCUUGUAGAGGGGAGGAUAGAUUGAGAGUAGAAUAAUGCGGGUGAGACACACACACAUCGCAUGCAACAGAUAGCAGACAUAUUAUGAGAGCAUUCAAUAGACUAGCAUAUAAUCGUCCACGCCCCGUCGAGUGUGUCUGAUACAAUUAUUGCACCCUACCUGCACGCCACGUAUAGCGGAGCUUCGGCGGAUUGGGCCAAUAAGCAUCGCUGAUCGUACAAACUUCUACCAUCGCAAAGUGGCGACAGCAUUUCGUACAUAAGCACCACAGGGACUGCUCGCUCUUUCCAUAGGCUCCUAUCGUACCUCUUGGGCGGACGCAUGAGGCGUUGAUAACUGACAGAAUUCGUCCUACCAGUAUUAUUUCUCCCGUUCUCAAUCUUCGGGGGUAAAUAGAUACCGAGUAUUCACCGGCAGUAGAUAGUUCGGUCUGUGAUCUAGUGAGCCGUACGGUGUGGGGCUCUCUUCAUUUCUUCGGUGCUGGGUUAUGUUUAAAACAAACUUCUAGAUCAUUUGGGGGUGCAUUUUUGGUGUGGUGGUGACAGAUUUCUUAGUGGUGACUCUCUUCUCAUAUUUUGAUUUUAUUUGUAUUUAUUGCGGGGGGUUAAAAAUCGAGUUGAUUUUUUUAAAAACGAGUGAAAUAAACGCGGUUGGAAUUUGUGGCUUCUCCUUCCCUUUGCUUGUGAACUUCGGUUUUGGUGUUUUAUGAUCAGAAAUAGUUGGUUGGAGGAAAAAUGGCGUUUAACUAUCUGGUGAUUGUGUUCUGCACGACAGCGGGGCGAAGAGGAGCCUUGCUUGGCACAGACGAGGAAGACCUAGUCCUCCUCGUUUCAGUGGUGGUGGACGUUGAAACCAAUAAGGUGGUGAAAUUCAACCAGAACUACAUUCGUCCUGAAAACUCCGAGCUGUCAGAUGAACUUUGCAAUACACUCAGCAUAAGACCUGAUGUAAUUACUGGAGCAGCUAACCUCAGUCGUGUCCUUGCAGAGCUUGACAACUAUCUGACGACCGAACUGGUGGGCGAGGACGGGAAGACCUUCUGCCUUCUGACCGAUGGCCAGCUCCACGUGCGACAAUGCAUCCACCCACAGACCACCAACAAGGGGAUCCCAAUCCCAGAGUACUUCUACAACUUCUUCGACCUCCGGAAGGAGUUCAGACGGAAGUACCCCAACGCACCGCACAUCACAGACGUCAAGGACAUGGCGACCUAUUUGAAAAUAGAUGUGGGUAACUUCAACUACACCGAGACGGGACUAGACGAAUGUCGAACAAUGGCCAGUAUAGUCACAAAGAUGAUCUCAGAUAAUCAUCUGUUCAUGAAACCGGAUUACGUGACGAAGAAAUACGAACCAGGAACAUACGACAAGACAGAUUCUAUACCAGACGAUACGGCAGUGAAAGCCCGUGGUCUCCCGUGGCAAGCAUCGGAUAGAGACGUCUUUCGUUUCUUCAAGGGACUCAACAUUGCUAGGGGUGGCGUUGCUCUGUGUCUGAACACACACGGUCGUAGGAACGGUGAGGUUAUGGUCCACUUUGAAAGCUCAGAACAGAGAGACAUGGCACUACAGAGGCAUAAACACAACCUCGGCAAGAGAUACGUAGAGGUAUUCAAAGCAACUGGAGAUGAGUUUAUCCGGGUAGCUGCUGGAACAUCGAAAGAGGCUACACUGUUUUUAGCUAGGGAUGAAGGCCAUAUCAUCGUGCGCAUGCGGGGUCUCCCGUUCACAGCCUCAGAGAAAGAUGUGGUGGAUUUCUUUGGGCCGGAGAUUCCCGUCGCAGGAGGAGAAGAAGGGAUCCUCUUCGUCAAGCAGAAGAACGGCAAGAUGACUGGAGAUGCCUUCGUGCUAUUCGCCUCUGAGGAUGCUGUGUCCAAGGCACUGUCCAAACAUCGGGAGUACCUAGGAAACAGGUACAUUGAGAUUUUCAGAAGCACGACUGCUGAAGUACAACAGGUCCUGUCUCGUGUCCAGUCCGAGCCCAUCAUGGCGGACAUCCCCCAGCAGCAGGUCAUGCCCCCGAUGAUCCCCAUCCCCAUCCACGCCAUGCCCCCUCACCAUCCACACCAGCCCCCUCCUCCUCCUCACCCGCACUUCAUUACAGCAGGGGUAGUCCGUGACUGCAUCCGAAUGCGCGGUCUCCCGUACAACGCGUCCAUCGAAGAUAUCAUGCUCUUCCUCGGGGAGGCAGCCCAGUUCAUUCGGCCUCAUGGUGUCCACAUGGUCCUCAACCUCCAGGGUAAGCCAAACGGCGAGGCGUUCAUCCAGAUGACCUCUGCAGAGCGCGCCUGCUUGGCGGCACAGACUUGCCACAUGAAGUACAUGAGAGAGCGUUAUGUAGAAGUCUUCCAGUGCUCCGGCGAGGAGAUGCAGAUGGUUCUGACCAGUGGCAUGCGCAACGAGAAGGCACAACAGCCACAAAUAAACGCAAUAUCUCCAACAACUCCGUUGCAUUAUCCUCCACCCAAUCAUCCUCACGCCCAACUCACCCACCCUGGUCACAUGCCUCCGGUCAGUGCAGGCGGUAUUAUGUCCACCAUGCAACAUAUGCCCGGUCACGCCAACCCACACGCCGCAGCCGUAGCCGCCGCCGCCGCAGCAGGCCUCGGUCACCAUCAGCUCCCUCCAGGCGCCACGUUCUUGCACCACCAGCAGCAAUUGAUGUAUGUACAUCCAGGUUUCCCCAGUCCACCCGUGUCGCCAACGGGGCACCAGUUGUACUACCCUGGAGCCGCCACCGGAAACAACGCAGCAGCCGCAGCAUUGGCGGCCGCGCAGAGUAACGCUAUGAUUCGUCUACGAGGGCUUCACACAGGCGCCACUGCCCAAGAUGUCGCAAAAUUCUUCCAGGGCUAUGGGGGAUUAACAUCGGCCCGUGGAACAGAGUCGUGGCAAUGACCUGGCGAUCAGGGGGCCUAGAGGGGGUCAACCUAUUACCCCUCUCUGGCUCCUAACUUACAUACAGGGUGAUGAACUCUAACUAUGCAAUAGGUACCUCCAGAAAGCGUUCAAGUGAGUCAGAACGGCGAGGCCGUGGUCCCAUUUUCUUCCCAAGACAUUGCAGUUCGUGCACUGCAAGAUCGACAACGUCAAUUCUCCGGCAAAAUGGAACUAUUCGUUGCUUAAGGGCGAGUAAGAAGAAGAUAAGAAUAAAUAGACGGAUCGUCUGCUGCUGUGUGGGAUCAAAAUAUUUGACUUGCUUGAUCGCUUUGCUUAAACUCAAAACUCUUUUUGUAUAUCUAUACACAAAGAGUUUGUGACGUAAUUGCUAAAAUCUUCCAACCUUUCUGACCCAGGCGUAUAGAAUGCUUCAUUUUGCUCCUGUACGUAUAAUAACACGAACACAUUGGCGAGUUUUGAUUGGUUCGCUUUGGAGCAUCACGUGCUUUGCUUUUGCACCAAGCCUAUCCGAUCGAACGCAAGUGUAAAUAUAUGGUGACGCCAAUAGGUUAAGUAUGAGUUUUCAAAACUGUCAUGAAAGAUUGGAAGAUUUCAGCAUUGAGUGCGUCCAUGCAAAAGAAAAAAAUGAGUCUGGGUACCCACGACAACGGCUGAUAUAUUAUUUAAUAAAAUGAGCUUGCCAGGUUUGCUCGGUUGGUUUACAAUUCCAGUAAAAACACUGUUCUUUAAAAAAAUGUUUUUUCACCAUUUUUGCCACAGUAAUGAUGUGUUUCUUUAUGCUAACAUGUGUGCAGAGGUAUUGUCUUGAGUGUGUUAGAAUUCCAGUAUAGUCUAUGUACAUCUCCUUCAUUCCAACUCCUUUGAAAUGUCAAAUAUUAAUGAUUUUCCGCUAGGAAUUUGUUUGAAAUCUCAUUUUUGUUAGACUAGUGUAAGAUUAAUCAUCUUGGUUUUAACAGAAACAGUCUCACUUUCCAGCUCAAUUUUUUUUAACUGAAAUUUUCUUUGAUCACGCAUUGAUUGUCAUCCUUAGAUGGAAAUAACGAACAAAAUUGUUCAAGCACAACUCAAUUUGGAAAAUAAGAGUUUGUUUCUAAAUGUGAUAUUUUACUUAUACGAUUUUAGGAUUUCGUCAUUUACCUUGACUGUAAAUGUAUUUGUCCAUCAUCAGUACGAAUUGGAAUAGAAGUAUUUCAUUUUAUUCUUCAAAAGAAUAAAAAAGAAAAGAAGGGCUGUAGAAACGAAAAACAUAUGAGAAAAUGAAGACUUGCCAGCCAUUAAAAUAACUACGGUUUAAUGGUGAGCUUAUUUUGAUUAACCCUCAAAUAAGGAAUGAUGCUGGCUUGCCGAUAAAAGAUAAAGAAAUAAUAUUAUUAAUUUAGGAUGAUAUUAAUCGUAUUAAUGAACUCUUGUGUAUAAAUUCAAAGUAAGAAAAUAUAUGAAUUAAUAACUGUAUCAGUAUGUAUUGGUACGGUUGUAGAUUAGUACUAUUUCCAAGUUCUAUAUUUUGUAAAUAUUAUAUUUGACGCCUUGUUCAAUGCGAGUUGGCAACACCAAAAUGUGCCUUAUAUUAUCAUUAGACGGAUGCCUUCCUGCAAAAGCUGCUAUCUUUGCUUUCAAAGACUUCCAGUACAUUUGUAAAAUAGUUGUAACUUCCAUAUUUGAAUGUAUACACAUAAAUAUGUAAAUUUGCAUUUUGUGAUGUCUACUUGUACGACAAAAUCCCUACGUCUUCCAAAUAUAUUAUGUGCUAAGUUUGUGACCAAUAUGAGUAUCAUUUUGAUACUCGGUUAAAUGAAUUUGCCUUAUUAUGUGUUUAUAAAAUAAUGUAAGAUUAGCAAUAAUCAUCGUUGUAAUAAUUCAUGAAUUCUAGUUUAAUUAUCAAGUGCCUACAGAAUGUAAGCCAAUGUUUAAGCUCGCACCAGGCUUCCAAAUCAUCAGUAAAACCUCAUGUGUUUUUUAAUGUUUUCAGUACCUUGAUAACUAUCCAAUACAUGUAAGAUGAAACUCUGGAAAUUUGAUAUAUAGAAUCUUUGUUGAUGAAAUGUCUAAGCACUGAAUAUAUUAUAUAAUCUCUUAUUGAUUGAAAGCAUUUGAAUCCGGGCAGUAUUUUACCGAAUAAUGAUAUUUUUUUUAAAAUCAGAGUUUGAAUGAAAGCAUUAAAUACGUAGCCAUAGCUCAGACAUAGGAGGGGAUUUAAUCGGGGAACAAACGUUUAAACCUAUGUUCAUUCCAGGGUUAGCUAUGCAAGAAUGCUAGAACUAUAAGUAAACUCUCAGAGUAAAGUACAGAAAAGAGAUGUAAUUUUAUGAUAAUUAUCAAUUUGGCGGCGGAACCGGGAAAGUUAGUGGCAUGGGUGGUUGCUCAUAAUUAUUAGUGAGCUCCAACUUAUCCCCGUCCCUUUCUGAUUAUGACAAGACUUUUCACAUUCCGAUAGAAAUAUGAAGACUUUGUGUUUCAUUGAUAUUCCCCGGGCCAAUAUUCAUUUUCUGAAUGUGUAUGAUUCCAUCAUGUUUUGAACCACUUACCCUCGUUAGGUUCCGUCGCCCCUUAAUAAUCUUCUAGCUAGAAAAAUUGUAUUAUAUUAGAAAUUAUGAAUAUAUUAAAUAGAUUAGUAUAGUUUGAAUUACAAUUUUUAAUCUAAAAAUUUAGUAUGAUGUACAGAAUUAUGAUCGAAUUUAUAUUAUGUAUGAAUAUUAGAUAAUAAUCUAGAAAAUUAGACCUUUUUUUUUAUUUGAGCGAACAUAUUAUGUAACAAAUGCCUUAUUAUGUAUGAACAAAAAUAUUACAGUAGAGCUUUGCACUAUACACGAUGCAGUGAUUUGUGUAAUGUGUAAUGUGGUAAGCAACAUAAUCUAGAGAUUUCAAAUGUAUAUUUUGUUUUGUUUUUAAAAAUUGCACUUGCCACGCAUGUACGUUAUACAUUCACUCUCGUUUGUCCUGUAAUACCGUCGUAUUGUCUAGCAUUUUAGGUUGUCGUAUUAUAAUGUAAUUGUAAUAUCAAGAUUAUUUUGCUCUGUGUUGUUUAGUCGUAGAAAGAUAAGAGGUUGAAACUAUAUCUCCAUUGUAAAUAUAUUUCAUCGUUUGGCACAAUGACUGUGUGUUGUAUCAGAAUUGCACUUCAGCUUACUAAACAUACGGCCUAUAUGCUCCAAGAUCUUACAAGUUUAGUCCGGUGACAAAAAUGCCGAUUCAUAUGAACAAUAACAAGAACAACAAAACAUAAAUAGUUCUUUCAAUAUCUUGUUAUCAAAAUGCUGUUUGCCCUCAAAAUAGGAAACCUCUUGCUCAGAUAUUUGGUACGUUUGAUCCAAUUAUAUUAGUAAUGACAAUAGCUUAAUAUUUAAAACAGAGGAAUAUUAUUUGUCUAUGCAAAUUAGGCCGUUCUUGCUGUAUUACAUACAAUUUCGCCACAUUUACAAACGCACAAAGGUUAUUAUUUAAGAAGAUAAUGAAAGGUAAAUUGAUAGGGCUUUGAUUUUCGGACAUACUCCCUUCAUACCUCGUUGUAGAUCUCCGUUUAUGUACAAGAAAGGGAUAUUGGAAUAUGUCAGUGUUUGUUAGUGACGCGAUAUUUCACUUCACGCUAAACUGUCUUUCUCUUUUAAUCUACUUUAACAGAUCAGAAUCGUACAUUUAUUUCUUAUAAUUUGUAUCGUUAUUGCAAUGACGUACUUCGUCAUUGUAUUGUCUUCGUUCACGCGUUCUUCUCUAUUAUUAAUAUUCUUCUUCGGACUUGUCUUCGUCAAGAAAUCCCAUUCAUUUUGCACGUAGUGCUUCUUAUUCCUAUCUAGGUCCUUUCCUAAUUUUAUUAUGUUUUAUCUUUUAAUACUUCAGCGCCUCUACGUUCCAAUGCAGUUGACUUCUGUUGUCAACUCGGUCGGAUUUCUUUAAUGAGAAGUGUUUUAUGUCAUUUUUCCUCCAUAUGAAUAUUAGAUUUAAUAUCAACGUUAGUCUGUAGAUAGGGUUAUAUCAUUUAGACAACAUUUCGAAGGUUCUACAACAGGUCUAUGUUUAAAUGUUAGUUUGCCUCUGUGGUUGAGUAUAAUAGUUUUCCGUUUUUGAUCAUCACUGCAAAAACUUUCUCACACUGCGCUUGAAUACGGUCAUCUUUGUAUAAUCAAGAUGUCUUUCUAUUCUAUCAUGAUUUAAGAAGUCCAGACAAAAGUUCGAAAUUCGAUAUAUAUAUAUAUAUAUAUAUAUAUAUAUAUCAGAAUAAUCGACAAGUAUCGAAUUCUUUUCAUCUUGAUCAGGCCUAAAGUGGAGUUUUUCUUCAUUUUCUGUGUUGUUUUUGGGGUAUAUUUUAAGAGUGGGGUGACGAAAGAGCACUUAUAUAAGUGAGGUAUGUUUUCGGUUCACAAGGACAUGACUUUAAAAAACCACGUUUUUUAAAUGUUUUACAGCAGUGGCUGUUGCAAAGGGAGAAUCGGGGAAAUUACUUUUUGAUGUGAAUAGGUGUCAUGGGAAAAAACAUGCGGAGCCUUAAUUCAUUAUUCGGGAUUGUCUUGCAUUCUGUAUGGAAUAAUUCUAGUUUGGGCUCCCUGUUUCUAUACUAACUCUUUGAGUAGUAGUUUAUUUACUGAAGUGUGUAUUUUCCCAGGUAGUAGGGAUGAGUUGGUUCUUUGGAGGGUCCUUUUUUAAUUGAAACGCCAGGGCUACAGGGUAUUCUAAAAAAAAUGUGUUGGGUCACGCAGUGACGCUAUUCACAUGUGCUACGCAUGAUACGUGCAAUAUUAUGGUGUAGAAAAAAAUGAGGAAACUACGAAAAAUAGUAUCUGUGGCUCAAAUAAUGAAAGAGAAAGAGUUUAGCAACUCGAAAUUGCCAGGGAUAGCUUUUGAAUAUGUAUCAGAUUUUUUAGAUUUUGAAUGAGAAGAUGUUUAAAUUUAGUGUCCAAUAAAGAUAAUGAAUUAUAUAGAUUAUACACAAUUUGUCAACUAAUAAAUGUCUAAAAGAUUAAUUCACAUGUCGAUUGUGAUAUAUACCGACAGGGUAUUAUUGUAUAUUUGGCAAGAUAUGUAGAGUAAAGAAAAAUUAUUGUAUUUGAAUUGUUCAGCAGUCUGUAGUUAUAGGCGUAACAACAAUUAACUGCAAACAAUAUUGAUACAACUUACUGCAAGAAAAUGAUUUUUGCAGAAUUGUUACAAAGUGAACAUUUCUAUCUUGUCACAGUCAUUCUCAGUGUGAUUAAUUCUAAUUAAUGUUUCGAAAAUUUCUUGUAUUAUUCAUUUUUAGCAAGCUUCAAAUAAAUUUUCACAAAUUAUGUAUAGAUAAAAA
Strongylocentrotus purpuratus (purple sea urchin) is the source of this 8199-nucleotide RNA transcript. It is a transcript of the gene named epithelial splicing regulatory protein 2, with no coding region annotated. The transcript is spliced from 15 exons. The record is from RefSeq and is a predicted model, not a curated record. Lineage: Eukaryota; Metazoa; Echinodermata; Echinoidea; Camarodonta; Strongylocentrotidae.